UCCAGACUCCUACGGGAGGCAGCAGUGGGGAAUAUUGCACAAUGGGGGGAACCCUGAUGCAGCGACGCCGCGUGGGUGAAGGAGCGUUUCGGCGCGUAAAGCCCUAUCGGCAGGGAAGAAGGAGGACGGUACCUGACUAAGAAGCCCCGGCUAACUACGUGCCAGCAGCCGCGGUAAUACGUAGGGGGCAAGCGUUAUCCGGAUUUACUGGGUGUAAAGGGGGCGCAGACGGCAGCGCAAGCCAGGAGUGAAAGCCCGGGGCCCAACCCCGGGACUGCUCUUGGAACUGCGCGGCUGGAGUGCAGGAGGGGCAGGCGGAAUUCCUGGUGUAGCGGUGAAAUGCGUAGAUAUCAGGAGGAACACCGGUGGCGAAGGCGGCCUGCUGGACUGCGACUGACGUUGAGGCCCGAAAGCGUGGGGAGCAAACAGGAUUAGAUACCCUCGUAAU
RNAcentral lists this ribosomal RNA (448 nucleotides) under uncultured bacterium. RNAcentral's name for it is "partial 16S ribosomal RNA". It matches the Rfam family "Bacterial small subunit ribosomal RNA", at positions 330 to 794 of the family's 1533-position model. The record is from RNAcentral.